AUGUUUCUGGUGGAUUGGUUCUACGGGGUGCUGGCGUCGCUGGGGCUGUGGCAGAAGGAGGCCAAGAUCCUCUUCCUCGGCCUGGACAACGCCGGCAAGACCACCCUCCUCCACAUGCUCAAGGACGAGCGGCUGGUGCAGCACCAGCCGACGCAGUACCCGACGUCCGAGGAGCUGAGCAUCGGCCAGAUCAAGUUCAAGACCUUCGAUCUCGGUGGCCACCAGAUCGCCCGCCGAGUCUGGAAGGACUACUACGCCAAGGUGGAUGCGGUUGUUUACUUGGUGGACGCUGCUGACAAGGAACGGUUUGCCGAGUCGAAGAAGGAGCUCGACGGCCUUCUUUCAGAUGACUCCCUUGCGAAUGUGCCUUUCCUCGUACUGGGUAACAAGAUCGACAUACCUAUCGCAGCAUCCGAGGAGGAGCUGCGCUACUACCUUGGGCUGAGCAACUUCACCACUGGGAAGGGCAACGUGAACUUGUCGGAUUCAAAUGUGCGGCCCCUGGAGGUGUUCAUGUGCAGCAUCGUCCGCAAGAUGGGCUAUGGUGAAGGUUUCAAAUGGAUGUCCCAGUACAUCAAGUGA
This 582-nucleotide ribosomal RNA is filed under the name Triticum aestivum (bread wheat). RNAcentral describes it as "partial small subunit ribosomal RNA". The record is from RNAcentral. Lineage: Eukaryota; Viridiplantae; Streptophyta; Magnoliopsida; Poales; Poaceae.